RNAcentral lists this ribosomal RNA (399 nucleotides) under uncultured bacterium. RNAcentral's name for it is "bacterial SSU rRNA". It matches the Rfam family "Bacterial small subunit ribosomal RNA", at positions 29 to 429 of the family's 1533-position model. The record is from RNAcentral.
AACGAACGCUGGCGGCAUGCCUUACACAUGCAAGUCGAACGGCAGCACGGGAGCAAUCCUGGUGGCGAGUGGCGAACGGGUGAGUAAUAUAUCGGAACGUGCCCAGUCGUGGGGGAUAACGUAGCGAAAGCUACGCUAAUACCGCAUACGAUCUAUGGAUGAAAGCGGGGGGAUCGCAAGACCUCGCGCGAUUGGAGCGGCCGAUAUCAGAUUAGGUAGUUGGUGAGGUAAAGGCUCACCAAGCCGACGAUCUGUAGCUGGUCUGAGAGGACGACCAGCCACACUGGGACUGAGACACGGCCCAGACUCCUACGGGAGGCAGCAGUGGGGAAUUUUGGACAAUGGGCGCAAGCCUGAUCCAGCAAUGCCGCGUGCAGGAUGAAGGCCUUCGGUUGUAAC